RNAcentral lists this microRNA precursor (118 nucleotides) under Procavia capensis (Cape rock hyrax). RNAcentral describes it as "miRNA (ENSPCAG00000019928.1)". The record is from RNAcentral. Lineage: Eukaryota; Metazoa; Chordata; Mammalia; Hyracoidea; Procaviidae.
GUUACAUUGGAAUUUCAGGUAAACAAAUAAUUUUUUCAUUGUAAGUGUAUACUGUGCAAUAUUUGGGACAUACGUAUACUAAAAAAAAAUUGCUGUUCAUCUGAAAUUCAAAUUUAAC